Trifolium pratense (red clover) is the source of this 440-nucleotide long non-coding RNA. RefSeq lists it as uncharacterized. The transcript is spliced from 2 exons. The record is from RefSeq and is a predicted model, not a curated record. NCBI's taxonomy places the organism in Eukaryota, Viridiplantae, Streptophyta, Magnoliopsida, Fabales, Fabaceae.
UCUUCAACUUCAAAUAUCAACACCUAUCCCCAUUGGAAUAUCACAUAACAAGUUACAAUAUAUUUAGGAGACAAAAGUAAAAGACCAAUAAUGGAGAUGAAAAUAUUUGUUGGCUUGUGCUUCUUCUUCAUUAUUCUCGUAAUUGCUGAAGAAGCAGUGGUGCAAAAUGAGGCUUGUGAAAAACAGAGUGAAUGGUUCACCGGUGAUCAAUGCGUUGGUUUUAUAUUUAGCAGCCUCGUAUGUGACUAUUAUUGCAGGGACAAAGACAAUUUACUCCAUGGUACCUGCAUAAAUAAGAAAUGCAUUUGUUCAUGCUGAACGUUUCCAUUGUGAGAUACUACUACUAGUAUACUGUAUACUAUAAUUUUGUUCAUGUAUAGCUAGUUUAAUUUCCAUGAAAUAAUUCAUGAAAUGAUGAAUAAGUCAUUAUUAUUACACUU